GGGUUGUGAGGUUAAGCGACUAAGCGUACACGGUGGAUGCCCUGGCAGUCAGAGGCGAUGAAGGGCGUGCUAAUCUGCGAUAAGCGCCGGUAAGGUGAUAUGAACCGUUAUAACCGGCGAUACCCGAAUGGGGAAACCCAGUGUGACUCGUCACACUAUCAUUAACUGAAUCCAUAGGUUAAUGAGGCGAACCGGGGGAACUGAAACAUCUAAGUACCCCGAGGAAAAGAAAUCAACCGAGAUUCCCCCAGUAGCGGCGAGCGAACGGGGAGGAGCCCAGAGCCUGAAUCAGCAUGUGUGUUAGUGGAAGCGUCUGGAAAGGCGCGCGAUACAGGGUGACAGCCCCGUACACAAAAGCGCAU
RNAcentral lists this ribosomal RNA (362 nucleotides) under Salmonella enterica. RNAcentral's name for it is "partial 23S ribosomal RNA". It matches the Rfam family "Bacterial large subunit ribosomal RNA", at positions 1 to 390 of the family's 2925-position model. Lineage: Bacteria; Pseudomonadati; Pseudomonadota; Gammaproteobacteria; Enterobacterales; Enterobacteriaceae. The record is from RNAcentral. RNAcentral also lists the same sequence under 4 other names.